UGGCCUCCACCCUCGCCCAGCUGCUGCCUGACUCCACUUCCCCUUUCUAGCCCAGGCAGUGAGUUUCAGGACUGGACCCUUUUACUGCUGCGACAGGAAGGGGCACUGGAACAGACAUGUCCCUGCCCAGCACGUGUGCAGAGCAGGGAGCCCCCAUCUGGCCCUCCAAGCUCCCUGAGCACGGCCUGGGGGAAACGGAAGGCCUCCUGCGCCCGAUGGCUGUGUGGUGGGGUGGGAUGGACGGAGGCCCCUUCCUCAUGGUCACCAAGUGGCUGCGCAUUUCCGGGCGUCUCACACUGACAUGAUGGUGCCGGGCCGGGCAUGCUCAUCCCAGUUGGCCAGAGCCUCCCUGCCUCCGCCUGAGAGCCUGGCACCCUAACCUGGAUGCGCAGCAGCUGCUGCCGGGGCAGGUGUGAAGCCUGGAGUCCUUAUUUCCAGAAUGUUCCGGAUGCUUGGGGAACAGUAGGGAGGUGCCCUCUCUCUGUGUGGUGAUGUCAGGGCACACUCUGGGCCCCGGGCUCUGGGCUUCCAUCUUCAGCAAAGAGGUGAUGAAACCUGAGGAAAGGGCUUCUACGCCGCUGUGGAGGGCAUGAUGUCACCGGGCCUCACGCCCAGGACACACCAGGGCUCCCGCCUCCCGGCCCUUAGGAAAUCCCACCCGGGCGCCAGCUUGCUUCUCCUUUCCCAGUACAGAGAAGCGAGCCACUACCCAGUUUCCCUUUUUGUCCCAGCUGCCGGGAGGCUCAGGCAGAUUUGCAGCUCAGCUCAGGGACGGAUCACGUGGUGCAUUUCCCUUCUGCUUUCCCCCAGGUCCUGAGCUUCC
This 823-nucleotide long non-coding RNA is filed under the name Marmota monax (woodchuck). The record is from RNAcentral. Lineage: Eukaryota; Metazoa; Chordata; Mammalia; Rodentia; Sciuridae.